Long non-coding RNA from Pomacea canaliculata, 359 nucleotides. RefSeq lists it as uncharacterized. The transcript has 2 exons. The record is from RefSeq and is a predicted model, not a curated record. NCBI's taxonomy places the organism in Eukaryota, Metazoa, Mollusca, Gastropoda, Architaenioglossa, Ampullariidae.
AUGGAGUAAGUGUUGGUGUAGCAUACAUGGCAACACGCUGAACAAUUUCCGCAUACUUGUCUUGCAGAUCAGCAUGAAUUCCAGAUCCUCCAUGCCCUCCCACACCUACAAAUCAUUCAAACAUCUUUUACGGUAACCCAUGGACCUGACCUUGCAUAUUGAUGUAAACUAAGUGGGCCAGGCAAAGGGCCACAGCACCAGGUGGGGGCCAGGGAAGGGGGUGAAGCAUGACUGGCACGAUUGGCUUCUGCAGCAAGUCAGCCAGACACAGCUCCCUGCUGCACAACUGUGAUGCUACAUAGCGCGCAGACAGGCAGGCAACCACCACCUUUGAAAAUAAAUUUUCAUAAUUACAAUUA